CAUUUGCAGUGCUAACAUGGCUGUACGGAGAUAGUUUCACUUACUACCAUCAUACUAUAUUAGAUCCACUUAAACAUUAUAGCAGGAAAUUCCACAUCGACAAGAUACGUUCUAAAAUUCCCGGAAGAAAUGGUCACGUGUUUAGUGACGUUGUCACCAACAUUAAAACAGAUAAAAUAGUGAUUACUUAGCAACAAUUCGAAUUUGCUUUGGGAAAAAGCAAUGAGUACUGGCGAGCUGAAGUAUGGUGCAAGAACCCGUGGGCAGAGUUAAGUGAUACUGAUAGUGAUGAACGACCCCAAGAAGUGUAGUGAUCGACGACAGACGGGACCUGGGUUACAAAGUUCUAUACAAACUCAGCAGGAAAAUUUCACCGGAAGAAUGCAACAGGACCAUGUAUACUAUGACCACAUACAGCUAGAGACGCGGAUUAAUGGAAGGAAGCGGCUGUUAUUUCCUUCGACAUAUCCACUAACUUUUCAUCAUAAACUGAUGAUCCUGGACUCUGCAUGGCUGGGGAGCCUUGACAGGAGAGGUUUCCCCAAGACGCCGUAGACAUAUUAACAGGCGAGACAGCUGUUGGGGGGCUCAUGGGCGAUGAGCCACGUAAUGUAGCAUUGAACAAAGAUGAGAGAGAGACUGACUUGUUAGCAACUGGUGUGGAGUUCAAUUUCUUGGGUGUUGCUGGUUUAAAUCCAACAUCUAAAAAGGAAUUUAUUGACAUAAGCCCAAUGUCAAUUUAAUACUGUACUUGCAGUAUUUAAUAUUUAUGAAUAUUAAGUAUGUUGAGGAAUAGUUGAGAUUAUGCUUAAUCCUCCAUGUUUGUUCCAAAGAUACAAAAUCAACCACAUAUUUGCUGCCAUAGGAGACACCUAUUAUACAAGGAUAUUUCGAGGAUUUUUUUUAUAAUACAGUAUACUUAUUGCAAGUGAUUUCAAAGUGCAACUUCCCCAUUUCCAUGCUCUUUUGUGCAAGAAAACAAGCUUAAAGUUAAUGUUAAAACAAUGGAUCCUAUUUGCCAUAACAAAUUAAUAUUAACAUAAGCUAACAUUAUUAUAAAACAUAACAUCAAAUGGUAUAUACCUGUUUCAUUUAUAGAGAGAAGGGACCGUUGCUUGUCAUUCACUUCUAUGGUACUAAGCAUGAAAAAGUUUAUUGCAUAGCUUAAAGUGAGCUUGACUAAGGCAGCAGUUGCUACGACACAGAGGACCAGGCAUGUCCACCACCACAACUUGCUCCGACCACUCAGGUUCCCACCGUCUUUCCUGAAGACAAGCACCAUUCAUUACAUUACUGUACUGCCAACUCAUCCUCUCGCCUAAUACCUCUCAUUUCUUAACAAUUUACCAAUCCGUUAAAAAUAUGACCUAUUCAUAAAUAUUAAAGCACUGCAUGAUUCA
Procambarus clarkii (red swamp crayfish) is the source of this 1400-nucleotide non-coding RNA. The record is from RefSeq and is a predicted model, not a curated record. Lineage: Eukaryota; Metazoa; Arthropoda; Malacostraca; Decapoda; Cambaridae.